GUCCUUUGCUGUUCUGGGAUUGAUUUGCUGUUCUGGGAGUCCUUUGCUGUUCUGGGAUUGAUUUGCACUUUUCACACCACAAUGAACGUGGUACCUUCAGGCGUUUGGAAAUUGCUCCCAAGGAUGAACCAAACUUGUGGAGGUCUACAAUUUUUUUCUGAGGUCUUGGCUGAUUUCUUUUGAUUUUCCCAUGAUGUCAAGCAAAGAGGCACUGAGUUUGAAGAACCAAGUGACACUUCCACCUGUUCCAAGGAAAACAUCUGGCCAAUGCUGGGUCAACAUGUGGAUGGCGGGGAACACAGUAUUCUGUUUGGAUGCCGGAAACCAUUUGGAGUGGACGAACGUACGCAGGUGGCCUACUACCUGAAGUGAUGUGUUCGACAAUAAGAUCAUGACUGGUUGU
Long non-coding RNA from Oncorhynchus nerka (sockeye salmon), 403 nucleotides. RefSeq lists it as uncharacterized. The record is from RefSeq and is a predicted model, not a curated record. The transcript has 4 exons. Lineage: Eukaryota; Metazoa; Chordata; Actinopteri; Salmoniformes; Salmonidae.